AAUAUUGUACAAUGGGCGAAAGCCUGAUGUACCAACGCCGCGUGAUUGAUGACGGCCUUCGGGUCGUAAAGCUCUUUGAUCAGGGAUGAUAAUGACAGUAUCUGAUAAUCAAGCCACGGCUAACUACGUGACACCAGCCGCGGUAAUACGUAGGUGGCGAGCGUUGUCCGGAAUUACUGGGCGUAAAGGAUGCGUAGGUGGAUAUUUAAGUGGGAUGAGAAAUCCCCGGGCUCAACCCGGGAACUGCAUUCCAAACUGGAUAUCUAGAGUGCAGGAGAGGAAAGCGGAAUUCCUAGUGUAGCGGUGAAAUGCGUAGAUAUUAGGAGGAACACCAGUGGCGAAGGCGGCUUUCUGGACUGUAACUGACACUGAGGCAUGAAAGCGUGGGUAGCAAACAGG
RNAcentral lists this ribosomal RNA (399 nucleotides) under uncultured bacterium. Its description in RNAcentral is "partial 16S ribosomal RNA". It matches the Rfam family "Bacterial small subunit ribosomal RNA", at positions 360 to 776 of the family's 1533-position model. The record is from RNAcentral.